CGGCCGCGUCGACCGUGGGGAGUACGGCCGCAAGGUUAAAACUCAAAUGAAUUGACGGGGCCCGCACAAGCGGUGGAGCAUGUGGUUUAAUUCGAUACAACGCGAAGAACCUUACCUGGUCUUGACAUAUCUAGAAUCCUGCAGAGAUGCGGGAGUGCCUUCGGGAAUUAGAAUACAGGUGCUGCAUGGCUGUCGUCAGCUCGUGUCGUGAGAUGUUGGGUUAAGUCCCGCAACGAGCGCAACCCUUGUCCUUAGUUACCAGCGGGUUAAGCCGGGAACUCUAAGGAUACUGCCAGUG
This 298-nucleotide ribosomal RNA is filed under the name uncultured bacterium. Its description in RNAcentral is "partial 16S ribosomal RNA". It matches the Rfam family "Bacterial small subunit ribosomal RNA", at positions 874 to 1157 of the family's 1533-position model. The record is from RNAcentral.